RNAcentral lists this ribosomal RNA (253 nucleotides) under uncultured bacterium. RNAcentral describes it as "partial 16S ribosomal RNA". It matches the Rfam family "Bacterial small subunit ribosomal RNA", at positions 524 to 776 of the family's 1533-position model. The record is from RNAcentral.
UACGUAGGGGGCAAGCGUUGUCCGGAAUCAUUGGGCGUAAAGCGCGUGUAGGCGGCCCGGUAAGUCCGCUGUGAAAGUCGGGGGCUCAACCCUCGAAUGCCGGUGGAUGCUGUCGGGCUAGAGUGCGGGAGAGGCGAGUGGAAUUCCUGGUGUAGCGGUGAAAUGCGCAGAUAUCAGGAGGAACACCAAUUGCGAAGGCAGCUCGCUGGAACGUAACUGACGCUGAGACGCGAAAGCGUGGGGAGCAAACAGG